Molecule: ribosomal RNA, 301 nt
Filed under: uncultured bacterium
Lineage: Bacteria
Description: partial 16S ribosomal RNA
Rfam family: Bacterial small subunit ribosomal RNA
Source: RNAcentral
CAGUAGCCGCGGUAAUACGUAGGGUCCGAGCGUUGUCCGGAAUUAUUGGGCGUAAAGAGCUCGUAGGCGGUUCGUCGCGUCUGCCGUGAAAUCCUCAGGCUCAACCUGAGGCGUGCGGUGGGUACGGGCGGGCUAGAGUGCGGUAGGGGAGAAUGGAACUCCUGGUGUAGCGGUGGAAUGCGCAGAUAUCAGGAAGAACACCGAUGGCGAAGGCAGUUCUCUGGGCCGUAACUGACGCUGAGGAGCGAAAGCGUGGGGAGCGAACAGGAUUAGAUACCCCAGUAGUCCCUGUCUCUUAUAC